CUGAAAAGAAAGCCAACUUGUGGGUGACUGGUGCCUGCCCAGCCCAACCACUGAAUACCUGACUACUCUGUUCUGUUUCGUUUGUGGCUACUGUAGAGACCUGAUGGCCAUCUCUGUGGCCAGCCUGAGACAUGUCGAUGAGCCAGUCCUGCCCAGACUAGCUGCUUAGAGCUCUGCACAUCCCUGGCCUGAACCUGGGCCUGCUGGCACAACUAUACCACUCUGGUCUGUUAUCAGGUGCUCAAUAGCCUGCCUGAAAUGUUGCAGAAAUUGCUUGAUCAGAUGCUGUGUCUAUACCACCCACAAGCGCCACCUUCGGGUAGUUUCUCAGUACGGUUGCAGAAAUUUGGGGCCAUCUGGACUUUGCAUGUGAGUGGAAAUGUACAACCACCUCUCCUUGAGCUGCCUUGGCGAUACGGUACAAGAACCUUCCGAGAAACACUUGUGUUUCUGGUGAUGCUUUGCCCUGGAGAUUUGAUUAUUUUUUUAUGACCAAAUAGUAAAAGGGGCCUUUCUAGUGCCAUUUGGUGGCCCCAAAUGGAAAAUUUCUGGACUGAAAACUCAAUUCAGCUGAGAAACUGGUUAGACCAAUUAGCC
Molecule: long non-coding RNA, 597 nt
Filed under: Felis catus (domestic cat)
Lineage: Eukaryota; Metazoa; Chordata; Mammalia; Carnivora; Felidae
Description: lncRNA (ENSFCAG00000043603.2)
Source: RNAcentral